Molecule: small RNA, 464 nt
Filed under: Pan troglodytes (chimpanzee)
Lineage: Eukaryota; Metazoa; Chordata; Mammalia; Primates; Hominidae
Description: processed transcript
Source: RNAcentral
UUUACAAGUUACCGCUUAGAGGGAGACAGGAUCAGGUGUCCUCCAUCCUGGCCACUUGACACAGGAGUCUGUCCCAAGGAAACAGUCUCAAACCAGGCAGCAGAGUUACAUCAGAACGCUUGGAAGCACUUUUUGAAAAUAUAGAGUCGCCUCCAACAUCGCUCCCAUUCUCAGGUCCCCUGUGGGGAGCUGGAUGUCCAUGCGGUGAAAAAGCUCCCCAGCUUCUAGGGACCUAUUAAAAGAGUUCCCACAGCCCAAAAAUCUUCUCAACAGUGUGAUUGGAAGAGCCCUCGGCAUCUCACAUGCAAAAGACAAACUAGUCUACGUGCACACAAAUGGACCGAAGAAAAAGAAAGUCACACUGCACAUAAAGUGGCCCAAGAGCGUGGAGGUAGAAGGCUAUGGCAGCAAGAAGAUCGAUGCUGAGCGGCAGGCUGCAGCUGCGGCCUGCCAGCUGUUCAAGG